Molecule: ribosomal RNA, 158 nt
Filed under: Acaulospora kentinensis
Lineage: Eukaryota; Fungi; Glomeromycota; Glomeromycetes; Diversisporales; Acaulosporaceae
Description: 5.8S ribosomal RNA
Rfam family: 5.8S ribosomal RNA
About the family: 5.8S ribosomal RNA (5.8S rRNA) is a component of the large subunit of the eukaryotic ribosome. It is transcribed by RNA polymerase I as part of the 45S precursor that also contains 18S and 28S rRNA. Functionally, it is thought that 5.8S rRNA may be involved in ribosome translocation.
Source: RNAcentral
CAACUUUCAACAACGGAUCUCUUGGCUCUUGCAUCGAUGAAGAACGCAGCGAAAUGCGAUAAGUAAUGUGAAUUGCAGAAUUCCGUGAAUCAUCAAAUCUUUGAACGCAAAUUGCACUCUUUGGUAUUCCGAAGAGUAUGCUUGCUUGAGGGUUGUUU